UUCACCGAAUCAACCAAGCUACAAGCAGUGUGUUGCCAAAUGUCUUUUUCAUACAAAACGUCCUGAAAUCCCGAAAAAUUAUCUGCCUGUUUUCGAUGCAGACUUCCGAAAGGAGCCAAUAAAUUGUAAUUUACGGAAAAAACGACUUUCGAAGGAGUGCAAGAAUAGAAUUUUUGUUAAUUUGGAGUCGAUGGGACCAUUUUGGAUUCAUCUUCCAGCAGGAAGCAGAAAAUAUUCAUGGUUUGCAGCAGAAAAAUUCUGCAGAUCAAAAGGUCUUGUUCUACCUGCGUUCGAUUCCAAACUGAAAAUGACUCAGCUGCUGCUGUAUGUGAACUUACUUG
This is a long non-coding RNA of Cloeon dipterum, 341 nucleotides long. RefSeq lists it as uncharacterized. The transcript has 4 exons. Lineage: Eukaryota; Metazoa; Arthropoda; Insecta; Ephemeroptera; Baetidae. The record is from RefSeq and is a predicted model, not a curated record.